RNAcentral lists this ribosomal RNA (98 nucleotides) under Citrobacter freundii. The record is from RNAcentral. RNAcentral also lists the same sequence under 385 other names. Lineage: Bacteria; Pseudomonadati; Pseudomonadota; Gammaproteobacteria; Enterobacterales; Enterobacteriaceae.
UGGUCCCACCUGACCCCAUGCCGAACUCAGAAGUGAAACGCCGUAGCGCCGAUGGUAGUGUGGGGUCUCCCCAUGCGAGAGUAGGGAACUGCCAGACA